Molecule: long non-coding RNA, 335 nt
Organism: Corvus hawaiiensis (hawaiian crow)
Lineage: Eukaryota; Metazoa; Chordata; Aves; Passeriformes; Corvidae
Exons: 3
Source: RefSeq, a predicted model, not a curated record
AAUUGUGAUCCCAGUUUUCCGUGGUCCCCGAGGUGUCGGGCCGGGAGCUGCGCGAGGAGCGAGCCCGGCUCAGCCGGAGCCUCAUCCCGGCGCUGCCCCAGCUCCUGGAGAAGUUCUCGGCGGAGCCGGCGCCGGUGGCGGCGCUGCUGGAGCUGCUCCCGCACCUGGAGCUGGGAAUGUUCCGCACGGAGCGCUGGGACAAGUGCCUGGAGCAGGUGCUGGAGCGGAUCCAGGAGCUCUUUGGGAAGCACUCGGAGCCCUUCCCGCUGCUCCCAGUGCUCCCAGUGCCUCCCAGUGCCGCCUCCCAGUGCCUCCCAGUGCCUCCCAGUGCCGCC